CGGAAAGAUGACCAAACUUGAUCAUUUAGAGGAAGUAAAAGUCGUAACAAGGUUUUCGUAGGUGAACCUGCGAAAGGAUCAUUA
Molecule: ribosomal RNA, 84 nt
Filed under: Cybaeus koikei
Lineage: Eukaryota; Metazoa; Arthropoda; Arachnida; Araneae; Cybaeidae
Description: partial 18S ribosomal RNA
Rfam family: Eukaryotic small subunit ribosomal RNA
Source: RNAcentral